UACGUAUGGGGUAAGCGUUAUCCGGAUUUACUGGGUGUAAAGGGAGCGUAGGCGGCAGGGCAAGCCUGAUGUGAAAGCCCGGGGCUCAACCCCGGGACUGCAUUGGGAACUGCCCUGCUGGAGUGCCGGAGGGGCAGGCGGAAUUCCUAGUGUAGCGGUGAAAUGCGUAGAUAUUAGGAGGAACACCAGUGGCGAAGGCGGCCUGCUGGACGGUGACUGACGCUGAGGCUCGAAAGCGUGGGGAGCAAACAGG
This 253-nucleotide ribosomal RNA is filed under the name uncultured bacterium. RNAcentral's name for it is "partial 16S ribosomal RNA". It matches the Rfam family "Bacterial small subunit ribosomal RNA", at positions 524 to 776 of the family's 1533-position model. The record is from RNAcentral.